GCUUCAGAUCAGUUAGCCCCGGCUUCAGAUCAGUUAGCCCCGGCUUCAGAUCAGUUAGCCCCGGCUUCAGAUCAGUUAGCCCCGGCUUCAGAUCAGUUCAUAUGAACAUGAUGAUAUAACCUACUAUACAUCAGGGAGGUGUCCCAAAUUAACCUCUAAUCCCUUUAAAGUGAACAACAUUCGACCAGAGUCCUGCAAAACUAGGGCCCAUUGGACUAGGGCUCUAAAUGACUAGGGCCCAUACGACUCUGGUCAAACGUAGUGUACUAUAUAGUGAACAGGGUUAAAUUUGGGACACUUCAGAGUUUCAGACACCUUAUAGUCAUAGAUCAGGGUAAUUGAAUAUAAUCAUCUUUGUACAAAAACACAUUCACAGAGAACCUGCAUCAGAGAGACAGCAUCACAGUAACAGAAAACACAAAAUACUUACAAAUGUCUGAGGUGAGCUCCACUUAUUCCAGUGGUUCCAUUAUAGAUAAACAAACUAUAUCCAGCUCAGCUUAAGUAUUUAAAAGAAUUUGACAAAAGUAUCCCCCAAUAAGGUUUUGUCCAGUUUUAACCUUUAGCUAAAUGCUAACGGAGCUAGCAUAAACUAGCAAACUCGGGUUGUAACCAUUAGCUAGAUGCUAACGGAGCUAGCAUAAACUAGCAAACUCUGGUUGUAACCAUGAGCUAGAUGCUAACGGAGCUAGCAGGGUCUCAGAUGGUGGCUGACUCCUGCCCAGUCUUCUCCUCUGCCUCCCCUCCUUCCUCUUCCUCUUUAUUCUUCCUGUGCUUCUUCUUCUUGUUCUUGUGUUUGUGUUCCUUCCUUCCUUCGACGGGAGGCUCAACGUCGGCAGAAUGCUUCUUGUGCUUCUUGUGUUUUUUAUGUUUCUUGUGUUUCUUCUUCUUCUUCUUGUCCGUCGCCGUGGAGCCGCUGUGGUUGCUAGGGGAGCCGCCGGGGCUCUGGGAGGCGGGGCUCUGGGUGUUGUGAGAGGGGCUGUGGCUCAGGCCACUGCCCCGCUCCCCGUCUGACCCCUCCCCUUCGCUGUAGUCGGGGACGAAGGCUGCCUCGUCCGUCUCUCUACCCAGGUCAGAACAUAGACGCUGUCGCCUUGGCUCUGGCCCCGCCCCUCGACUCUCCUCCCUCCCUACCCCUCCUCUUCCUUCCUCCUUUACUCCUCUGGAUUCGGUCUUAGCUGGUUUUCUAAAGUUCAUCUGCCCCUUUUUAAGCCCUCUGCCUUCCUCCCUCCUUCUAGUCCCCUCCUCCCUCCCUCUCCUCCCCUCUGUGUUGGCUGUUUUAGAGACACUACCCUGCACGUCCCUGCCUUGGCCACUAGGCGGUGCUGGUGAGACUUCUCUCCUCAGAGCGUCUCUGGGCACGGAGGAGGAAACCGCCAACGCCCCAUUCUCCCUGGACGCUGAGUGCUGCUCCUCUUCCUCCUCCUCCUCCUCUCUCUCCCACUUGGACCGGGGUGGAGGCUGGAUGAGGACUCCUCCGGUCCCACGGUCCCUCCUCUCCCUGCCUGGGCUGGGGAACUGGACGGGACUGGGUCUCCUCUGGGUCUGGAGGUCCCGGGGUUUUGACACAGCACCCUGGCUCUGGCUCGGCUCAGACCUGCUGCUGCUGGAACACACAGAUCCAAGAUCAGGGGUUAGAGAGAACAUCAACUAGGAACCAUUAUACCCAUGUUAUAUACACAGAUCUAGGAUCAGGGGUUAGAAACCAUUAUACCAUGUUAUUAAACAGAUCUAGGAUCAGGGGUUAGGAACCAUUAUACCCAUGUUAUAUACACAGAUCUAGGAUCAGGGGUUAGAGAGAACAUCAACUAGGAACCAUUAUACCCAUGUUAUAUACACAGAUCUAGGAUCAGGGGUUAGAGAGAACAUCAACUAAGAACCAUUAUACCCAUGUUAUAUACACAGAUCUAGGAUCAGGGGUUAGGAACCAUUAUACCCAUGUUAUAUACACAGAUCUAGGACCAGGGGUUAGGAACCAUUAUACCCAUGUUAUAUACACAG
Molecule: long non-coding RNA, 2001 nt
Organism: Oncorhynchus tshawytscha (Chinook salmon)
Lineage: Eukaryota; Metazoa; Chordata; Actinopteri; Salmoniformes; Salmonidae
Source: Ensembl